Molecule: ribosomal RNA, 264 nt
Filed under: uncultured archaeon
Lineage: Archaea
Description: partial 16S ribosomal RNA
Rfam family: Archaeal small subunit ribosomal RNA
Source: RNAcentral
AGUCACUGACAUUAGAUACCCUGUAGUCCAGGGUGUAAACGCUGCAGACUUGGUGUUGGGAACCCGUUCGGGGGUGCUCAGUGCCGGAGAGAAGUUGUUAAGUCUGCUACGUUGGGAGUACGUCCGCAAGGAUGAAACUUAAAGGAAUUGGCGGGGAGCACCACAACGGGUGGAGCCUGCGGUUUAAUUGGACUCAACGCCGGAAAUCUCACCGGAUAGGACAGACAUAUGAUAGUCGGGCUGAAGACUCUACUUGAUGAUCUG